This 563-nucleotide long non-coding RNA is filed under the name Homo sapiens (human). RNAcentral's name for it is "non-protein coding lnc-ING1-1:1". Lineage: Eukaryota; Metazoa; Chordata; Mammalia; Primates; Hominidae. The record is from RNAcentral.
CUCGGGUCUCCUUCAACGCUAUGGAAGCUUUGCUCUUUUGCUCUUUGCAAUAAAUCUUGCUACUGUUCACUCUUUGGGUCCAUGCUGCUUUUAUGAGCUGUAACACUCACAGGGAAAAUCUGCAGCUUCACUCCCGAACCGAGCGAGACCACGAGCCCACCGGGAGGAAAGAACAACUCCAGACAUGCUGCCUUAAGAGCUGUAACACUCACCGCGAAGGUCUGCCGUUUCACUCCUGAGCCAGUGAGACCACGAACCCACCAGAAGAAAGAAACUCUGAACACAUCUGAACAUCAGAAGGAACAGACUCCAGACGCGCCACCUUAAGAGCUGUAACACUCACCGCGAGGGUCCGCGGCUUCAUUCUUGAAGUCAGUGAGACCAAGAACCCACCAAUUCCGGACACAGAAUUUCAUGGAGCCUGGAGCCCAGGAAAAGGGUGAAUCCAAUGCAGGCUGAUUUCUGGCUUACAUCACAGUCCAGUCUGAUUUUCUGCAGAUUACUUUCUACAAGACGAUUUGGGACCUCAGUUUACCACCUCCCAGCGGACCGACGGGUGCGGU